This 74-nucleotide transfer RNA is filed under the name Desulfocapsa sulfexigens DSM 10523. It matches the Rfam family "tRNA". From Rfam's summary of the family: Transfer RNA (tRNA) molecules are approximately 80 nucleotides in length. Their secondary structure includes four short double-helical elements and three loops (D, anti-codon, and T loops). Further hydrogen bonds mediate the characteristic L-shaped molecular structure. tRNAs have two regions of fundamental functional importance: the anti-codon, which is responsible for specific mRNA codon recognition, and the 3' end, to which the tRNAs corresponding amino acid is attached (by aminoacyl-tRNA synthetases). tRNAs cope with the degeneracy of the genetic code in two manners: having more than one tRNA (with a specific anti-codon) for a particular amino acid; and 'wobble' base-pairing, i.e. permitting non-standard base-pairing at the 3rd anti-codon position. Lineage: Bacteria; Pseudomonadati; Thermodesulfobacteriota; Desulfobulbia; Desulfobulbales; Desulfocapsaceae. The record is from Rfam by way of RNAcentral.
GCACUAGUAGCUCAGCUGGAUAGAGUACCUGACUACGAAUCAGGGGGUCGCAGGUUCGAAUCCUGCCUAGUGUA